RNAcentral lists this small RNA (119 nucleotides) under Marmota monax (woodchuck). Lineage: Eukaryota; Metazoa; Chordata; Mammalia; Rodentia; Sciuridae. The record is from RNAcentral.
GGCAGGUGUAGUGGUACACACCUGUAAUCCCAGUGCCUUAGGAGGCUGAGGCAGGAGGAUCACAAGUUCAAGGCCAGCCUCAGCAAUUUAGCAAGCAACCUAGUGAGACCCUGUCUCAU